This 74-nucleotide transfer RNA is filed under the name Pseudomonas phage phiK7A1. It matches the Rfam family "tRNA". From Rfam's summary of the family: Transfer RNA (tRNA) molecules are approximately 80 nucleotides in length. Their secondary structure includes four short double-helical elements and three loops (D, anti-codon, and T loops). The record is from Rfam by way of RNAcentral. Lineage: Duplodnaviria; Heunggongvirae; Uroviricota; Caudoviricetes; Vandenendeviridae.
GCACCACUCGUCUACGAGGUUUAGGAUAUGAGGUUUUCACCCUCAUGAACGGGGUUCGAGUCCCCGGUGGUGUA